This 492-nucleotide ribosomal RNA is filed under the name uncultured bacterium. RNAcentral describes it as "partial 16S ribosomal RNA". It matches the Rfam family "Bacterial small subunit ribosomal RNA", at positions 29 to 507 of the family's 1533-position model. The record is from RNAcentral.
AGUGAACGCUGGCGGUAGGCCUAACACAUGCAAGUCGAACGGCAGCACAGUAAGAGCUUGCUCUUACGGGUGGCGAGUGGCGGACGGGUGAGGAAUACAUCGGAAUCUACUUUUUCGUGGGGGAUAACGUAGGGAAACUUACGCUAAUACCGCAUACGACCUACGGGUGAAAGCAGGGGAUCUUCGCACCUUGCGCGAUUGAAUGAGCUGAUGUCGGAUUAGCUAGUUGGCGGGGUAAAGGCCCACCAAGGCGACGAUCCGUAGCUGGUCUGAGUGGAUGAUCGGCCACACUGGAACUUAGACACGGUCCAGGCUCCUACGGGACGGAGCAGUGUCGAAUAUUGGGCAGUGGGCGCAAGCCUGAUCCAGCCAUACCGCGUGGGUGAAGACGGCCUUCGGGUUGUAAAGCCCUUUUGUUGGGAGAGAAAAGCAGCAGGUUAAUACCCCGCUGUUCUGACGGUACCCAGAGAAUAAGCACCGGCUAACUUCGUG